RNAcentral lists this ribosomal RNA (544 nucleotides) under uncultured Glomus. RNAcentral describes it as "SSU rRNA". It matches the Rfam family "Eukaryotic small subunit ribosomal RNA", at positions 548 to 1098 of the family's 1831-position model. Lineage: Eukaryota; Fungi; Glomeromycota; Glomeromycetes; Glomerales; Glomeraceae. The record is from RNAcentral.
UUGGAGGGCAAGUCUGGUGCCAGCACCCGCGGAAAUUCCAGCUCCAAUAGCGUAUAUUAAAGUUGUUGCAGUUAAAAAGCUCGUAGUUGAAUUUCGGGAUCAGUAGGUUGGUCAUGCCUAUGGUAUGCACUGGCUUUACUGGUUCCUCCUUCUUGAUGAUCUGUAAUGUCAUUAAUUUGGUGUUGCAGGGAGUCAGGACUGUUACUUUGAAAAAAUUAGAGUGUUUAAAGCAGGCAUACGCUUGAAUACAUUACCAUGGAAUAAUGAAAUAGGACGUUCGAUCCUAUUUUGUUGGUUUCUAGGAUUGACGUAAUGAUUAAUAGGGAUAGUUGGGGGCAUUAGUAUUCAAUUGUCAGAGGUGAAAUUCUUGGAUUUAUUGAAGACUAACUACUGCGAAAGCAUUUGCCAAGGAUGUUUUCAUUAAUCAAGAACGAAAGUUAGGGGAUCGAAGACGAUCAGAUACCGUCGUAGUCUUAACCAUAAACUAUGCCGACUAGGGAUCGGAUGAUGUUUUUAAUGACUCAUUCGGCGCCUUACGGGAAAC